Molecule: non-coding RNA, 331 nt
Organism: Vicugna pacos (alpaca)
Lineage: Eukaryota; Metazoa; Chordata; Mammalia; Artiodactyla; Camelidae
Source: RefSeq, a predicted model, not a curated record
UGGUUGCUCAGAACAGUUUCCUUUCACGGUUAUUCCAAAGGUGUCCAAAACUGCCAUCACAGGAGCAAGAUCCCGAUUAAAGGCAGAUCGUAGCCAUUCUUAUUCCAUCCACUUUCCCUCAGUUUGUCUUUUGAAACGACAACUAUGAAUUCUCACCUGGGCACACCUACCAACUCCACCAUUGUAACGACGGAACGGCACACAUUGCUUCUGUAAAGUGACGUCCUUCAAAUACUUGGUGGCUUUUCGGAUAUGCAUACCCUUAAUGGCCUGGGCAGUUUCACGAGUGUUCUAAGUAUAAAUAACAUAAGCUGUGAGUUAACUGUAUUUU